GAGUUUAAGUGCAUAUGUCCUUAGUGAAAUCGCUGUUCCAUGUUUGGUUCGAGUAUUUUAGCCUUGUUCUAUUUUACCCGUUUCUCCCACGGAUGUUCCUUUUUGUCCCCUGGCUUAGUCUUUCCAUUGAUUUGUCGUCAUGGAAUCCCUCGUGUUCCGUAACAGUUUUAAGACGUAGCCUGGCCAACGCAUAACCCUUUU
RNAcentral lists this long non-coding RNA (201 nucleotides) under Lathyrus oleraceus (garden pea). RNAcentral's name for it is "Pisum sativum (pea) long non-coding RNA (PSAT_LNC014717)". Lineage: Eukaryota; Viridiplantae; Streptophyta; Magnoliopsida; Fabales; Fabaceae. The record is from RNAcentral.